This 1133-nucleotide ribosomal RNA is filed under the name uncultured organism. RNAcentral's name for it is "bacterial SSU rRNA". It matches the Rfam family "Bacterial small subunit ribosomal RNA", at positions 31 to 1197 of the family's 1533-position model. The record is from RNAcentral.
GAACGCUAGCGGCGCGCUUACGCAUGCAAGUCGAGCGAUGAGGCUCCCUUCGGGGAGUACAUCAGCGGCAGACGGGUGAGUAACACGUAGAUAACCUGCCCUCAAGACGGGGACAACCGGUGGAAACAGCGGCUAAUACCCGAUAUGCUCACAGGAUCGGGAGGUCGAGUGAGGAAAGGCUUCGGUGCUUGAGGAGGGAUCUGCGGCCCAUCAGCUAGUUGGUGAGGUAACGGCUCACCAAGGCGAAGACGGGUAGGGGGUGUGAGAGCAUGGCCCCCCACAAUGGGACUGAGACACGGCCCAUACUCCUACGGGAGGCAGCAGCGGGGAAUAUUGCGCAAUGGACGGAAGUCAGACGCAGCGACGCCGCGUGGGUGAGGAAGGCCUUCGGGUUGUAAAGCCCUUUUCAGGGGAGCGAGAAAGGACGGUACCCUUGGAAUAAGCGUCGGCUAACUACGUGCCAGCAGCCGCGGUAAGACGUAGGACGCAAGCGUUAUCCGGAUUUACUGGGCGUAAAGCGCCUGUAGGCGGUCAAGUAAGUCGGAUGUGAAAGCCCCGUGCUCAACGCGGGGAAGCCAUUCGAUACUGCGUGACUAGAGAACGGCAGAGGGAAACGGAAUUUCUGGUGUAAGCGGUAAAAUGCGCAGAGAUCAGAAAGAACACCGAUGGCGAAGGCAGUUUCCUAGGCCGCAUCUGACGCUGAGAGGCGAAAGCUAGGGGAGCAAACAGAAUUAGAGACCCUGGUAGUCCUAGCUGUAAACGAUGGAUGCUAGGUGUGGGCCGGAAAGGUCCGUGCCGUAGUUAACGCGAUAAGCAUCCCGCCUGGGGAGUACGGCCGCAAGGCUAAAACUCAAACGAAUUGACGGGGACCCGCACAAGCAGCGGAGCGUGCGGUUUAAUUCGAUGCUACACGCAGAACCUUACCUGGGCUUGACAUGUAGGUGGUAGUGAAGUGAAAGCGGAGCGACCCUUCGGGGAGCAUACACAGGUGCUGCAUGGCUGUCGUCAGCUCGUGCCGUGAGGUGUCGGGUUAAGUCCCGUAACGAGCGCAACCAUUGUCCUUAGUUACAAGUGUCUAAGGAGACUGCCGGUGACAAACCGGAGGAAGGUGGGGAUGACGUCAAGUCAGCAUG